GGGCUAAGUUACUCAAGAAAAAGCUUCUAACUUUAGUCUUAAGCAGUGAAAUACUGUUUUUAGCUCU
RNAcentral lists this transfer RNA (67 nucleotides) under Xyleborus perforans. RNAcentral describes it as "tRNA-Ser". Lineage: Eukaryota; Metazoa; Arthropoda; Insecta; Coleoptera; Curculionidae. The record is from RNAcentral.